CGGACGGGUGAGUAACGCGUGGGUAACCUGCCUUGUACUGGGGGACAACAGUUGGAAACGACUGCUAAUACCGCAUAAGCGCACAGCUUCGCAUGAAGCAGUGCGAAAAACUCCGGUGGUACAAGAUGGACCCGCGUCUGAUUAGCUGGUUGGUGAGGUAACGGCCCACCAAGGCGACGAUCAGUAGCCGGCCUGAGAGGGUGACGGCCACAUUGGGACUGAGACACGGCCCAA
Molecule: ribosomal RNA, 234 nt
Filed under: uncultured bacterium
Lineage: Bacteria
Description: partial 16S ribosomal RNA
Rfam family: Bacterial small subunit ribosomal RNA
Source: RNAcentral